AGGAGGAACAACCGCAGUGGCGGAGCCAGCUCUGGAGCCCUGGAGUAACCCCCCGCAGUAACUCCAGAGCUCUCCGUCUGCAGGGCCUGGAGGCUCCAGGCCGGG
This is a non-coding RNA of Canis lupus familiaris (dog), 105 nucleotides long. Lineage: Eukaryota; Metazoa; Chordata; Mammalia; Carnivora; Canidae. The record is from Rfam.